GCCUGCGUAGCUUAGUUGUGUAGAGCACUGGAUUUUUGCUCCAGGGGUCAAGGGUUCGAGUCCCUUUGCAGGCA
RNAcentral lists this transfer RNA (74 nucleotides) under Bacteroidaceae bacterium. RNAcentral's name for it is "tRNA-Lys". It matches the Rfam family "tRNA". From Rfam's summary of the family: Transfer RNA (tRNA) molecules are approximately 80 nucleotides in length. Their secondary structure includes four short double-helical elements and three loops (D, anti-codon, and T loops). Lineage: Bacteria; Pseudomonadati; Bacteroidota; Bacteroidia; Bacteroidales; Bacteroidaceae. The record is from RNAcentral.